UACGUAGGCAGCAAGCGUUGUUCGGAAUUACUGGGCGUAAAGAGUACGUAGGUGGUUUGCCAAGUCCGAUGUGAAAUCUCCUGGCUUAACUGGGAGGGUGCGUUAGAUACUGGCAGGCUUGAGUGUGGGAGAGGAGAGCGGAAUUCCUGGUGUAGCGGUGAAAUGCGUAGAUAUCAGGAGGAACACCAAUAGCGAAGGCAGCUCGCUGGGACGUUACUGACACUGAGGCGCGAAAGCGUGGGGAGCGAACAGG
Molecule: ribosomal RNA, 253 nt
Filed under: uncultured bacterium
Lineage: Bacteria
Description: partial 16S ribosomal RNA
Rfam family: Bacterial small subunit ribosomal RNA
Source: RNAcentral